AUGCAAGUCGAACGAGAUCUUCGGAUCUAGUGGCGCACGGGUGAGUAACGCGUGGGAACCUACCUUUCAGUUCGGGAUAACAGUUGGAAACGACUGCUAAUACCGUAUACGCCCUCCGGGGGAAAGGUCAGCCGCUGAAAGAGGGGCCCGCGUCUGAUUAGCUUGUUGGUAGGGUAAAAGCCUACCAAGGCUUCGAUCAGUAGCUGGUCUGAGAGGAUGAUCAGCCACACUGGGACUGAGACACGGCCCAGACUCCUACGGGAGGCAGCAGUCGGGAAUAUUGGACAAUGGAGGAAACUCUGAUCCAGCAAUGCCGCGUGUGUGAUGAAGGCCCUAGGGUUGUAAAGCACUUUCAACGGUGAAGAUGAUGACGGUAGCCGUAGAAGAAGCCCCGGCUAACUUCGUGCCAGCAGCCGCGGUAAUACGAAGGGGGCGAGCGUUGUUCGGAAUUAUUGGGCGUAAAGGGCGCGCAGGCGGUUUGGAUAGUUAGACGUGAAAGCCCUGGGCUUAACCUAGGAACUGCGUUUAAUACUGCCAAACUAGAGAACUAGAGAGGAUAGCGGAACUCCCAGUGUAGAGGUGAAAUUCGUAGAUAUUGGGAAGAACAUCAGUGGCGAAAGCGGCUGUCUGGCUAGUUUCUGACGCUGAGGCGCGAAAGCGUGGGGGAGCAAACAGGAUUAGAUACCCUGGUAGUCCACGCCGUAAACGAUGUGUGCUAGAUGUUGGAAGGUUACCUUGCAGUGUCGCAGCUAACGCGUUAAGCACACCGCCUGGGAAGUACGGUCGCAAGAUUAAAACUCAAAGGAAUUGACGGGGGCCCGCACAAGCGGUGGAGCAUGUGUUUAAUUCGAAGCAACGCGCAGAACCUUACCAGCUCUUGACAUGUGAGUUUGGUAUCAGAGAUGAUUUCCUUCAGUUCGGCUGCUCCACACAGUGCUGCAUGCUGUCGUCAGCUCGUGUCGUGAGAUGUGGUAGUCCCGCACGAGCGCACCCUCAUCUUUAGUGCAGCAGUCGCUGCACUCUAGAGAACUGCCUGGAUGACAGAGAAGCAGGAUGACGUCAAGUCUCAUGGCCCUUAAGGGCUGGCUACACACGUGCUAACAUGGGGGUUACGGGGGGAGAAAAAGGUGACCGUGGGACUAUAUCCCAAG
Molecule: ribosomal RNA, 1151 nt
Filed under: uncultured Alphaproteobacteria bacterium
Lineage: Bacteria; Pseudomonadati; Pseudomonadota; Alphaproteobacteria
Description: bacterial SSU rRNA
Rfam family: Bacterial small subunit ribosomal RNA
Source: RNAcentral